This 215-nucleotide ribosomal RNA is filed under the name uncultured Candidatus Accumulibacter sp. RNAcentral describes it as "partial 16S ribosomal RNA". It matches the Rfam family "Bacterial small subunit ribosomal RNA", at positions 644 to 857 of the family's 1533-position model. The record is from RNAcentral. Lineage: Bacteria; Pseudomonadati; Pseudomonadota; Betaproteobacteria.
GAGUUUGGCAGAGGGGGGUGGAAUUCCACGUGUAGCAGUGAAAUGCGUAAAGAUGUGGAGGAACACCAAUGGCGAAGGCAGCCCCCUGGGUCGAUACUGACGCUCAUGCACGAAAGCGUGGGUAGCAAACAGGAUUAGAUACCCUGGUAGUCCACGCCCUAAACGAUGUCAACUAGGUGUUGGGAGGGUAAAACCUUUUAGUGCCGUAGCUAACG